RNAcentral lists this long non-coding RNA (258 nucleotides) under Theobroma cacao (cacao). RNAcentral's name for it is "long non-coding RNA (TCAC_LNC002632)". Lineage: Eukaryota; Viridiplantae; Streptophyta; Magnoliopsida; Malvales; Malvaceae. The record is from RNAcentral.
ACAGCUUGUUUGUUUUGUUGUUGGAGAUAGUCUACCACAGAUGUUUCUGAUGCUCCAUUGGUUCCUGAGGUAGGGAGAGGUGGUGAAAGGGGUUGCCUGAUGCUGCUGUGCUCUGAUUUAAAGGUUGAGAUUAAAGACAACAUUUAAGGAGCGGGAAUUGUGAAUUUAUUGUUGAAGAAAAUCUAUCUUUGCCCAAUUAUGUAAUUUUGAGGGUUAUGCCAUCACUGGGACUGCACAUAGGUCUUAAAAUUGCAGCUC